This 484-nucleotide ribosomal RNA is filed under the name uncultured bacterium. RNAcentral describes it as "partial 16S ribosomal RNA". It matches the Rfam family "Bacterial small subunit ribosomal RNA", at positions 30 to 507 of the family's 1533-position model. The record is from RNAcentral.
AUUGAACGCUGGCGGCAGGCCUAACACAUGAAAGUCGAGCGGAGGAAGGGAGCUUGCUCCUGGAUUCAGCGGCGGACGGGUGAGUAAUGCCUAGGAAUCUGCCUGGUAGUGGGGGAUAACGUCCGGAAACGGGCGCUAAUACCGCAUACGUCCUGAGGGAGAAAGUGGGGGAUCUUCGGACCUCACGCUAUCAGAUGAGCCUAGGUCGGAUUAGCUAGUUGGUGGGGUAAAGGCCUACCAAGGCGACGAUCCGUAACUGGUCUGAGAGGAUGAUCAGUCACACUGGAACUGAGACACGGUCCAGACUCCUACGGGAGGCAGCAGUGGGGAAUAUUGGACAAUGGGCGAAAGCCUGAUCCAGCCAUGCCGCGUGUGUGAAGAAGGUCUUCGGAUUGUAAAGCACUUUAAGUUGGGAGGAAGGGCAGUAAGUUAAUACCUUGCUGUUUUGACGUUACCAACAGAAUAAGCACCGGCUAACUUCGUG